RNAcentral lists this ribosomal RNA (471 nucleotides) under Herbaspirillum sp. Its description in RNAcentral is "bacterial SSU rRNA". It matches the Rfam family "Bacterial small subunit ribosomal RNA", at positions 391 to 855 of the family's 1533-position model. Lineage: Bacteria; Pseudomonadati; Pseudomonadota; Betaproteobacteria; Burkholderiales; Oxalobacteraceae. The record is from RNAcentral.
GCAAUGCCGCGUGAGUGAAGAAGGCCUUCGGGUUGUAAAGCUCUUUUGUCAGGGAAGAAACGGGUGAGGCUAAUAUCCUUGCCUAAUGACGGUACCUGAAGAAUAAGCACCGGCUAACUACGUGCCAGCAGCCGCGGUAAUACGUAGGGUGCAAGCGUUAAUCGGAAUUACUGGGCGUAAAGCGUGCGCAGGCGGUUGUGCAAGACAGAUGUGAAAUCCCCGGGCUCAACCUGGGAAUUGCAUUUGUGACUGCACGGCUAGAGUGUGUCAGAGGGGGGUAGAAUUCCACGUGUAGCAGUGAAAUGCGUAGAUAUGUGGAGGAAUACCGAUGGCGAAGGCAGCCCCCUGGGAUAACACUGACGCUCAUGCACGAAAGCGUGGGGAGCAAACAGGAUUAGAUACCCUGGUAGUCCACGCCCUAAACGAUGUCUACUAGUUGUCGGGUCUUAAUUGACUUGGUAACGCAGCUAA